Molecule: transfer RNA, 72 nt
Filed under: Mus caroli (Ryukyu mouse)
Lineage: Eukaryota; Metazoa; Chordata; Mammalia; Rodentia; Muridae
Description: tRNA-Cys (GCA) (tRNA-Cys-GCA-16-1)
Rfam family: tRNA
About the family: Transfer RNA (tRNA) molecules are approximately 80 nucleotides in length. Their secondary structure includes four short double-helical elements and three loops (D, anti-codon, and T loops). Further hydrogen bonds mediate the characteristic L-shaped molecular structure. tRNAs have two regions of fundamental functional importance: the anti-codon, which is responsible for specific mRNA codon recognition, and the 3' end, to which the tRNAs corresponding amino acid is attached (by aminoacyl-tRNA synthetases). tRNAs cope with the degeneracy of the genetic code in two manners: having more than one tRNA (with a specific anti-codon) for a particular amino acid; and 'wobble' base-pairing, i.e. permitting non-standard base-pairing at the 3rd anti-codon position.
Source: RNAcentral
GGGGGUAUAGCUCAGGGGUGGAGCAUUUGACUGCAGAUCAAGAGGUCCCUGGUUCAAAUCCAGGUGCCCCCC